RNAcentral lists this ribosomal RNA (329 nucleotides) under uncultured eukaryote. Its description in RNAcentral is "partial 18S ribosomal RNA". It matches the Rfam family "Eukaryotic small subunit ribosomal RNA", at positions 1470 to 1796 of the family's 1831-position model. The record is from RNAcentral.
CCCUUAGAUGUUCUGGGCCGCACGCGCGCUACAAUGAUGAAUUCAACGAGUUUAUAACCUUGGUUGAAAAGCCUGGGUAAUCUUUUGAACUAUCGUCGUGAUGGGGCUAGACCCUUGCAAUUAUUGGUCUCCAACGAGGAAUUCCUAGUAAACGCAAGUCAUCAGCUUGCAUUGAUUACGUCCCUGCCCUUUGUACACACCGCCCGUCGCACCUACCGAUUGAAUGGUCCGGUGAAAUCUUCGGAUUGAGACUUUGAUUUCUUCACGGAAAACGCUGUUUUAAAAAGUUGAUUAAACCUUACCAUUUAGAGGAAGGUGAAGUCGUAACA